RNAcentral lists this ribosomal RNA (488 nucleotides) under uncultured bacterium. RNAcentral's name for it is "partial 16S ribosomal RNA". It matches the Rfam family "Bacterial small subunit ribosomal RNA", at positions 28 to 507 of the family's 1533-position model. The record is from RNAcentral.
GACGAACGCUGGCGGCGUGCUUAACACAUGCAGGUCGAACGGAAAGGCCCUGCUUUUGUGGGGUGCUCGAGUGGCGAACGGGUGAGUAACACGUGAGUAACCUGCCCUUGACUUUGGGAUAACUUCAGGAAACUGGGGCUAAUACCGGAUAGGAGCUCCUGCUGCAUGGUGGGGGUUGGAAAGUUUCGGCGGUUGGGGAUGGACUCGCGGCUUAUCAGCUUGUUGGUGGGGUAGUGGCUUACCAAGGCUUUGACGGGUAGCCGGCCUGAGAGGGUGACCGGCCACAUUGGGACUGAGAUACGGCCCAGACUCCUACGGGAGGCAGCAGUGGGGAAUAUUGGACAAUGGGCGAAAGCCUGAUCCAGCCAUGCCGCGUGUGUGAAGAAGGUCUUCGGAUUGUAAAGCACUUUAAGUUGGGAGGAAGGGCAGUAAGUUAAUACCUUGCUGUUUUGACGUUACCAACAGAAUAAGCACCGGCUAACUUCGUG